AUAUGACAUACUUGCUUUUAAAAAUCUAAUUAAAACUUUCUUUUUGGUCCUUAGGUAGAAAGAUGGCUCUGCUGAGAUGAGCUCUUAAUUAAUGCACUGAGAGCCUGCGAGUCCCACCUCUCAACAGGAAUGAUUGACGUCCAAGGAUACAUAAAUUACACUAAUUGAGCUCUGCCUCUAUAUAGGCUUUCCACAGCCAACUCAUCAGAGAAGCUAGGCUUGUACCACAGCCAAUAUCUCUGCUUGACAACUCUAAUGAACAAAUUGCCACAAAAGUGAGACAGAACACACCUUUUUGGUAAGUAGCAUAUACAUUUCUAAAUCUGAUGGUAAGCACAAGGCUAAUGUUUAUGCCUCCAUUUUGUUUAAAAU
RNAcentral lists this long non-coding RNA (372 nucleotides) under Papio anubis (olive baboon). RNAcentral describes it as "lncRNA (ENSPANG00000049247.1)". The record is from RNAcentral. Lineage: Eukaryota; Metazoa; Chordata; Mammalia; Primates; Cercopithecidae.